CCUCGAGGAGUGUAGUGAUGUACAGAUCACAUUGACCACGGAGUUCAGAGCGGGAAGACGUAUUCUUCGGGCAUUUAUUUCACGUUCAGAAUUCGUUAGUUUUAUCUUUUUUGUUAUACAGUUUCACCAAUGGAUGAACGAGGCAUGAUUGGAUUGUGUGAGUGAAGAGAUAGUAUUCAGAACCACAAUUUGUUUUUCUUCUAUCCAAUUCCUCGCUGGGUAUUGCAAUACUUUGAAAACAGAUGGCACUUCAAUAAAAGAGAACAACAAAUGCCACACUUGAGAG
Long non-coding RNA from Dreissena polymorpha, 286 nucleotides. RefSeq lists it as uncharacterized. The record is from RefSeq and is a predicted model, not a curated record. The transcript is spliced from 3 exons. Lineage: Eukaryota; Metazoa; Mollusca; Bivalvia; Myida; Dreissenidae.